This 495-nucleotide ribosomal RNA is filed under the name uncultured bacterium. RNAcentral's name for it is "partial 16S ribosomal RNA". It matches the Rfam family "Bacterial small subunit ribosomal RNA", at positions 28 to 507 of the family's 1533-position model. The record is from RNAcentral.
GACGAACGCUGGCGGCGUGCCUAAUACAUGCAAGUCGAACGCUGAAGGAGGAGCUUGCUUCUCCGGAUGAGUUGCGAACGGGUGAGUAACGCGUAGGUAACCUGCCUGGUAGCGGGGGAUAACUAUUGGAAACGAUAGCUAAUACCGCAUAAGAGUAGAUGUCGCAUGACAUUUGCUUAAAAGGUGCAACUGCACCACUACCAGAUGGACCUGCGUUGUAUUAGCUAGUUGGUGAGGUAACGGCUCACCAAGGCAACGAUACAUAGCCGACCUGAGAGGGUGAUCGGCCACACUGGGACUGAGACACGGCCCAGACUCCUACGGGAGGCAGCAGUAGGGAAUCUUCGGCAAUGGACGGAAGUCUGACCGAGCAACGCCGCGUGAGUGAAGAAGGUUGUCGGAUCGUAAAGCUCGGUUGUAAGAGAAGAACGAGUGUGAGAGUGGAAAGUUCACACUGUGACGGUAUCUUACCAGAAAGGGACGGCUAACUACGUG